This 208-nucleotide long non-coding RNA is filed under the name Mytilus galloprovincialis (Mediterranean mussel). The record is from RNAcentral. Lineage: Eukaryota; Metazoa; Mollusca; Bivalvia; Mytilida; Mytilidae.
CCCUGGAUCCGCCUAUGCAUAAGUUCAACUGUAGUCAAUCGAAUCAUAGGUACCUUAUUUAUAUAAUUUGCACCACGUGACUUUUGCCCUUUUGAUUAAAUUACUUCUCUUUGUCUAAGAUUGAAAUUAUAAUUAUAUCAAAUUUGCGGAUAAUCCAGUCCAUUUUCGUCAUGGAUCUAAGACUAAUAUGUUUUGGAAAACUUCCUUU